UACGUAGGUGACAAGCGUUGUCCGGAUUUACUGGGCGUAAAGAGCGCGCAGGCGGUCGAUCAAGUCGAGUGUGAAAGCCCCCGGCUCAACUGGGGAGGGUCAUUCGAUACUGAUCGACUCGAAGGCAGGAGAGGGUAGUGGAAUUCCCGGUGUAGUGGUGAAAUGCGCAGAUAUCAGGAAGAACACCAAUGGCGAAGGCAGCUCUCUGGGACGGUACUGACGCUGAGACGCGAAAGCGUGGGGAGCGAACAGG
This 253-nucleotide ribosomal RNA is filed under the name uncultured bacterium. RNAcentral describes it as "partial 16S ribosomal RNA". It matches the Rfam family "Bacterial small subunit ribosomal RNA", at positions 524 to 776 of the family's 1533-position model. The record is from RNAcentral.